AACGAACGCUGGCGGCAGGCCUAACACAUGCAAGUCGAGCGCGCCCUUCGGGGUGAGCGGCGGACGGGUGAGUAACGCGUGGGAAUAUGCCCUUCACUGCGGAAUAGCCUUUGGAAACGAAGAGUAAUACCGCAUACGCCCUUCGGGGGAAAGAUUUAUCGGUGAAGGAUUAGCCCGCGUUGGAUUAGGUAGUUGGUGGGGUAAAAGCCUACCAAGCCGACGAUCCAUAGCUGGUUUGAGAGGAUGAUCAGCCACACUGGGACUGAGACACGGCCCAGACUCCUACGGGAGGCAGCAGUGGGGAAUCUUAGACAAUGGGGGAAACCCUGAUCUAGCCAUGCCGCGUGAGUGACGAAGGCCCUAGGGUCGUAAAGCUCUUUCAGCUGUGAAGAUAAUGACGGUAGCAGCAGAAGAAACCCCGGCUAACUCCGUG
Molecule: ribosomal RNA, 433 nt
Filed under: uncultured bacterium
Lineage: Bacteria
Description: bacterial SSU rRNA
Rfam family: Bacterial small subunit ribosomal RNA
Source: RNAcentral